UUGGAGGGCAAGUCUGGUGCCAGCAGCCGCGGUAAUUCCAGCUCCAAUAGCGUAUAUUAAAGUUGUUGCAGUUAAAAAGCUCGUAGUUGAAUUUCGGGAUCAGAUUGCCGGUCGUGCCUCGGUACGCACUGGCAUUAUUGGUUCCUACCUUCUGAAGAACCGCGAUGUCAUUAAUUUGGUGUCGUGGGGAAUCAGGACUGUUACUUUGAAAAAAUUAGAGUGUUUAAAGCAGGCGCACGCUUGAAUACAUUAGCAUGGAGUAAUGAAAUAGGACGUUUGACUCUAUUUUGUUGGUUUCUAGGAUCGACGUAAUGAUUAAUAGGGAUAGUUGGGGGCAUUAGUAUUCAAUUGUCAGAGGUGAAAUUCUUGGAUUUAUUGAAGACUAACUACUGCGAAAGCAUUUGCCAAGGAUGUUUUCAUUAAUCAAGAACGAAAGUUAGGGGAUCGAAGACGAUCAGAUACCGUCGUAGUCUUAACCAUAAACUAUGCCGACUAGGGAUCGGAUGAUGUUAAUUUUUUAAUGACUCAUUCGGCGCCUUACGGGAAACCAAAGUGUUUGGGUUC
RNAcentral lists this ribosomal RNA (564 nucleotides) under uncultured Glomeromycotina. RNAcentral describes it as "SSU rRNA". It matches the Rfam family "Eukaryotic small subunit ribosomal RNA", at positions 548 to 1114 of the family's 1831-position model. The record is from RNAcentral. Lineage: Eukaryota; Fungi; Glomeromycota.